CUCUCCUCCCUGCUUCCCUGGGUUAGUUUUCCUCUGGAAAAUCAUAUGGGGUCUCACCAUGUUGCCCAAGCUGGUCUUGAACUCCUGGUACAAGCGAUCCUCCUGCCUCAGCCUCUGGAGCAGCAGGGACUACGGGCGCACACCACCACACCUGGCCGUAUACAUCACAUGUUGUUUAUACAUUCGUCUAUCGAUGGACAUGGGCAUCACCUCCACCUUUUUAGGCUGGUCACUGCAGCCUAAAUUCUGUUUAAUUCUGUUUUUAAUUUUAAUUCUGCUCCUCUGAGAUGAGCCAGCUUGUGCAUGAAGCAAGGCUUGAAGGAGAACACGGCUGCAUGGAUCGCUGGGCCACUGGACUGAGGUGCUUUGAAGGUGGCAAUCCACGAACCUUUGGAUUUGUGGAUCUGUGGAUCUGUGAAGCAAUGAGUUUCUUCAUUGUUGAAUUGAGGUUUAGGUCUCUUACAGCUAUGAGCCGCCUAGAUGAUGCAUCUUCCGAGAAGUUGCCCAGUUUCAAAAAUUACAGAAGAAAACAAAAAUGAACAGAACCACAGAGAAGUGGGAAUUAUUUUGCUGAUGUGAAUGCUG
This 585-nucleotide long non-coding RNA is filed under the name Pan troglodytes (chimpanzee). RNAcentral describes it as "lincRNA". Lineage: Eukaryota; Metazoa; Chordata; Mammalia; Primates; Hominidae. The record is from RNAcentral.